RNAcentral lists this transfer RNA (82 nucleotides) under Bacillus anthracis str. Sterne. Its description in RNAcentral is "tRNA-Arg". It matches the Rfam family "tRNA". From Rfam's summary of the family: Transfer RNA (tRNA) molecules are approximately 80 nucleotides in length. Their secondary structure includes four short double-helical elements and three loops (D, anti-codon, and T loops). Further hydrogen bonds mediate the characteristic L-shaped molecular structure. tRNAs have two regions of fundamental functional importance: the anti-codon, which is responsible for specific mRNA codon recognition, and the 3' end, to which the tRNAs corresponding amino acid is attached (by aminoacyl-tRNA synthetases). tRNAs cope with the degeneracy of the genetic code in two manners: having more than one tRNA (with a specific anti-codon) for a particular amino acid; and 'wobble' base-pairing, i.e. permitting non-standard base-pairing at the 3rd anti-codon position. The record is from RNAcentral. Lineage: Bacteria; Bacillati; Bacillota; Bacilli; Caryophanales; Bacillaceae.
GCGCCCAUAGCUCAGUCGGAUAGAGCGGUGGUUUCCGGUACCACGUCUGCCGGGGGUUCGAAUCCCUCUGGGCGCGUCAAAA